CGCUGGCGGCGUGCCUAAUACAUGCAAGUCGAGCGAACGGACAGGAGUGCUUGCACUCCUUGAAGUUAGCGGCGGACGGGUGAGUAACACGUGGGUUACCUACCUAUAAGACUGGGAUAACUUCGGGAAACCGGAGCUAAUACCGGAUAAUAUAUNGCUCCGCAUGGAGGAAUAGUCAAAGACGGUUCUGCUGUCACUUAUAGAUGGACCCGCGGUGUAUUAGCUAGUUGGUGAGGUAACGGCUCACCAAGGCAACGAUACAUAGCCGACCUGAGAGGGUGAUCGGCCACACUGGGACUGAGACACGGGUCCAGACUCCUACGGGAGGCAGCAGUAGGGAAUCUUCCGCAAUGGGCGAAAGUCUGACGGAGCAACGCCGCGUGAGUGAAGAAGGUUUUCGGAUCGUAAAACUCUGUUGU
Molecule: ribosomal RNA, 419 nt
Filed under: uncultured Macrococcus sp.
Lineage: Bacteria; Bacillati; Bacillota; Bacilli; Caryophanales; Staphylococcaceae
Description: bacterial SSU rRNA
Rfam family: Bacterial small subunit ribosomal RNA
Source: RNAcentral